CCCGGGUUGAGAUCUCUUUCUGAAACUGCAGACAAUAAAGCAUUUUCCCUAAGAAAGUUAACAAUGUGAUAAAUACUGAUGCAGUGUUUCAACACACUUAAUUAUUUCUUUUUUUUCAUUGUUUAUCAUCAUGUUGUCAACUUUCCAUAUCAUUCCCCAUAAUGCUUUGUGCUAGAUUUUCUUUGAAAAUUUCUUUCCUCUGAACUUACCAUGAACUUGUCUGUAAAAUACGGCCAUAAAAUGCCACUGACAAAACAAAACAAAACAAAAUCCUCUAUUCACUAAUAAAAGAACAACACUCGGUUUCUCUCUCAUCCCUCACUAAAAAAAAAAAAAAAAAGAGAGAGAAAAAUAGAAAAUUCAUACAGAGAAAUAGUUUUUAAUUGCAGGUAUGAAGCAGGUUGUGAAAGUGGAGUAGAAAACAAGUCAUCAGUCAGGAGGGUGUAGUUUAAACCAAUGCGGAGUUUGUGCUUCAUUCCAUUUGUUCUCACUAUGGUGAUGGCAGUUGACUGUCACCAGUGUUGGGAUUAAACUUUGUGUGAUUGAGGGGGAGGAGGAGGAUUGUGUUCCCUGAGUCGUUCUGUGGGAGGAGAAGGAUUAUGCAUGUGCCUUAUGUAAUGAGGAAGAGGCUGGAGAACUUGAAUGUGUACAAGGAAGAGGUGGGAGGAUUAUCUUUUGAUAUGAAGGAGAGAGAGCGGCUGUGGUUCUGAUCCUUGAAGGAAGCAUCAAAAAUGCCUUACCUACUUCUAUGGCCUGCUUUUUGUAUUAGAGGAGGGCUUUUUUUUUUUUUUUUUCCAUGAUGUGGAAGAAAGAUUAUGGAAGGGGUGAGAAGGCAGAGGGUGAUGUUGGGAGGCUGAGUUGUGCUAAUGCAUUAGCACAGACCUGACAGAGGGAUGGAGUUUAAACUGAGUCAGUUGAGCUACCUGGAACAUGAAUCACUGAGGAUGGGAUGUUCUUGCUGUCCUCCAGAGAACCAGAGGGGGAGAUGGAGAAGUCUCAAAGACAGGUUUGGGGUGAUGAGAGGUGGGCAGCCAGCAGUGCAGGGAAGUUUCUCCAGGAACUUCUGCGCGUCUCGCCUCUUCCCAGGACCCGCACUGAAACACUUCUGGACGAGUAGAGGCUGA
This 1124-nucleotide long non-coding RNA is filed under the name Numida meleagris (helmeted guineafowl). RNAcentral's name for it is "lncRNA (ENSNMEG00000011107.1)". The record is from RNAcentral. Lineage: Eukaryota; Metazoa; Chordata; Aves; Galliformes; Numididae.